This 305-nucleotide ribosomal RNA is filed under the name uncultured bacterium. RNAcentral's name for it is "bacterial SSU rRNA". It matches the Rfam family "Bacterial small subunit ribosomal RNA", at positions 334 to 654 of the family's 1533-position model. The record is from RNAcentral.
AAUUCCUACGGGGCGCAGCAGUGGGGAAUAUUGGGCAAUGGGCGCAAGCCUGACCCAGCAACGCCGCGUGAAGGAAGAAGGCUUUCGGGUUGUAAACUUCUUUUGACAGGGAAGAGCAGAAGACGGUACCUGUCGAAUAAGCCACGGCUAACUACGUGCCAGCAGCCGCGGUAAUACGUAUGGUGCAAGCGUUAUCCGGAUUUACUGGGUGUAAAGGGAGCGCAGGCGGCGCGUUAAGCCUGGUGUGAAAGCCCGCGGCCCAACCGCGGGACUGCAUUGGGAACUGGCGCGCUAGAGUGCCGGCG